GAUAUGAUCAUGGAUCAGAAUGAACAAUGACGGCAGGCUUAGCACAUGCAAGUCGAGCGCAGUAUCACUAAUAGUGGCAGACGGUUGAGUAACAUGUAGGUAUCUGCGGUUUAGCCAGGAAUAACACGAGGAAACUUGUGAUAAUACGAGAUAAGUCUUUAGGGGGAAAGCUUUAUGCAUCAGGGAUGAGCGUGCACAAGAUUAGUUUGUUGGUAAGGUAAUGGCCCGCCAAGACUGUGAUCAAUAGCACAUUUGAGAGGAUGAUCAGCCACAUUGGGACUGGGACACGGCCCAGACUCUUACGGGAGGCAGCAGUGGGGAAUAUUGGACAAUGGGGGCAACCCUGAUCCAGCGAUGCGGGUUGAGUGAUGAAGGCCCUAGGGUUGUAAAACUAUUUUGUCAGGGAAGAUAAAGACGGUACCGAAAGAAAAAGAUCCGGCUAACUCCGUCCCCACACCCGCGGUAAUACGGAGGGAUCUAGCGUUAUUGGGAAUUACUGGGCGUAAAGCGAGCGUAGGCUGAUUUGUAAGUUGGAUGUGAAAUCCCAGAGCUAACUGAGGAACUGCAUCCAAAACUACAUUUCUGAGUUUGGUAGAGGAGAGUGGAAUUCGUAAUGUAGAGGUGAAAUUUGUAGAUAUUAGGAGGAACACCAGUGGCGAAGGCGACUCUCUGGGCCAAUACUGACGCUGAGGUUCGAAAGCGUGGGUAGCGAACAGGAUUAGAUACCCUGGUAGUCCACGCAGUAAACGAUGAAUGCUAGAUGUUGGAAACAUUAGUUUACAGUAUCGCAGCUAACGCAUUAAGCAUUCCGCCUGGGAAGUACGGCCGCAAGGCUAGAACUCAAAUGAAUUGACGGGGACCCGCACAAGCGGUGGAUCAUGUGGUUUAAUUCGAAGCAACGCGAAGAACCUUACCGGCCCUUGACAUACCAAUCGCGAACUUAAGAGAUUAAGUUCUUCACUUCGGGUGGAUUGGAUACAGGUGCUGCAUGGCUGUCGUCAGCUCGUGUCGUGAGAUGUUGGGUUAAGUCCCGCAACGAGCGCAACCCCUACCUUCAAUUGCCAGCACGUUAUGGUGGGAACUUUGAAGGAACUGCCGGUGAUAAGCCGGAGGAAGGUGGGGAUGACGUCAAGUCCUCAUGGCCCUUACGGGCCGGGCUACACACGUGAUACAAUGGUAACUACAAAGAGCAGCGAUGGAGCAAUCUUCAGCAAAUCUCCAAAAGUUACCUCAGUUCGGAUUGUACUCUGCAACUCGAGUACAUGAAGUUGGAAUCGCUAGUAAUCGUCGAUCAGCGCGCUACGGUGAAUACGUUCCCGGGUCUUGUACACACCGCCCGUCACACCAUGGGAGUUGGUUUUACCUGAAGCUGGUUUGCUAGCCGUAAGGAGGCAGCCAACCACGGUAGGAUUAGCGACUGGGGUGAAGUCGUAACAAGGUAACC
RNAcentral lists this ribosomal RNA (1444 nucleotides) under uncultured marine bacterium. RNAcentral describes it as "bacterial SSU rRNA". It matches the Rfam family "Bacterial small subunit ribosomal RNA". The record is from RNAcentral.